This 504-nucleotide ribosomal RNA is filed under the name uncultured bacterium. RNAcentral describes it as "bacterial SSU rRNA". It matches the Rfam family "Bacterial small subunit ribosomal RNA", at positions 29 to 523 of the family's 1533-position model. The record is from RNAcentral.
AUUGAACGCUGGCGGAAUGCUUUACACAUGCAAGUCGAACGGCAGCACGGGGGCAACCCUGGUGGCGAGUGGCGAACGGGUGAGUAAUACAUCGGAACGUGCCCAAUCGUGGGGGAUAACGUAGCGAAAGCUACGCUAAUACCGCAUACGAUCUACGGAUGAAAGCGGGGGAUCGCAAGACCUCGCGCGAAUGGAGCGGCCGAUGGCAGAUUAGGUAGUUGGUGGGGUAAAGGCUCACCAAGCCAACGAUCUGUAGCUGGUCUGAGAGGACGACCAGCCACACUGGGACUGAGACACGGCCCAGACUCCUACGGGAGGCAGCAGUGGGGAAUUUUGGACAAUGGGGGCAACCCUGAUCCAGCCAUGCCGCGUGAGUGAAGAAGGCCUUCGGGUUGUAAAGGCUCUUUUCGGCCCGGGAAGGAAUACGCAUGGGUGAAUACCCUGUGUGGAUGACGGUACCGGAACAAGAAGCACCGGCUAACUACGUGCCAGCAGCCGCGGUAA